AGUGAGAAUGGGCGAAGCCUGACCGCCUGCCGCGUGUGUGAAGAAGGUCUUCGGAUUGUAAAGCACUUUAAGUUGGGAGGAAGGGCAGUUACCUAAUACGUGAUUGUUUUGACGUUACCGACAGAAUAAGCACCGGCUAACUCUGUGCCAGCAGCCGCGGUAAUACAGAGGGUGCAAGCGUUAAUCGGAAUUACUGGGCGUAAAGCGCGCGUAGGUGGUUUGUUAAGUUGGAUGUGAAAUCCCCGGGCUCAACCUGGGAACUGCAUUCAAAACUGACUGACUAGAGUAUGGUAGAGGGUGGUGGAAUUUCCUGUGUAGCGGUGAAAUGCGUAGAUAUAGGAAGGAACACCAGUGGCGAAGGCGACCACCUGGACUGAUACUGACACUGAGGUGCGAAAG
RNAcentral lists this ribosomal RNA (399 nucleotides) under uncultured bacterium. RNAcentral's name for it is "bacterial SSU rRNA". It matches the Rfam family "Bacterial small subunit ribosomal RNA", at positions 359 to 759 of the family's 1533-position model. The record is from RNAcentral.